GUCUAUGGCCAUGCUACCCUGAACAAGCCUGAUCCCACCUGAUCUCAGAAGCUAAGCAGGGUCAGGCCUGGUUAGUACUUGGAUGGGAGACCACCUAGGAAGACCAGGUGCUACAGGCA
This 119-nucleotide ribosomal RNA is filed under the name Pteropus alecto (black flying fox). The record is from RNAcentral. Lineage: Eukaryota; Metazoa; Chordata; Mammalia; Chiroptera; Pteropodidae.